Oenanthe melanoleuca is the source of this 853-nucleotide long non-coding RNA. RefSeq lists it as uncharacterized. The transcript is spliced from 2 exons. The record is from RefSeq and is a predicted model, not a curated record. Lineage: Eukaryota; Metazoa; Chordata; Aves; Passeriformes; Muscicapidae.
UGCCAGGUUCCAUCAGCCAGGCACUGCCAGGUUCAUUACCCAGGCACUGCCAGGUUCAUUACCCAGGCACUGCCAGGUUCAUUACCCAGGCACUGCCAGGCUCACAGGCUGUGAGCUCCAGAGUCCUUCCCUGCUCACCUGGCUGCCCACCUGCACGUCCCCUCCCCCUGGCUCCACCUGCUACACCCCCUGUGUGGUCCUCACCCAUCUCAGAGCUGUUCCUGGUGCUCUGGAGAGCAGGAGCAGCAGAGUGACAGCAGGACCGUGUGUGUAAUGUCUGAGAGGCUUUUACUCCAUGUUGUUUUACUGAGAUGCUUUUAGGAUCCAUGCUGAACUGCUAUUCUUUAACCUUCACUGCCACAGAUUCUUUCUCCCCACCAUCUUCAUUUCAUACAGAUUGGCAAAAUACAUUUGACUUGGAACAAAAACCAACCCAAACCCUGCUGAUGGGAUAAGUUACUCCUCUUGACUGUGCUUUGAUUUGAUUUCUCAGGAUACCCAGAGGUUUUUCACUGCUGCUGAGAGGGGACAGUACACCUUUUUGGAGACUUCAACCACUGUAACAGUUUUCCAGAUGUGUGUGUGCGUGUGUGUGUGUGUGUAGCCCAGCACUGUGCGUGCGUGUUCUGCUGAGUAUCGUGUGCAUCUCUGAAACGCUUCAAACAACUGCCUGGAAGUCAAAAACCAACCACCUCUUUCCAGUCAUAUGUUUGCCGUGACUUUUCAUAACCACACUUGAAACUAGUGGUCUUGGAUGGAAAUAUUCAAAGAGCAGGGCAUCUUUAUAGCAAUGGUAUGUCAGUCGAAUUACAGAAAAUGUACACAGAAAUAAAUAAAUGAAAUUUGAAAGUGA